AAAACAUCACCUCUUGCUUUUCAUCGAAUAAGAGGCCCCGCCUGCCCUGUGACUGUAUGUUUAACGGCCGCGGUAUCAUGACCGUGCAAAGGUAGCGCAAUCACUUGUCUUUUAAAUGAAGACCUGUAUGAAUGGCAUAACGAGGGCUUAACUGUCUCCUUUUCCAGGUCAAUGAAAUUGAUCCCCCCGUGCAGAAGCGGGGAUGAAUACAUAAGACGAGAAGACCCUGUGGAGCUUUAGACACCUGAGUAGCUCUUUAUCAAGUACCCCCUCUUAAGGGGGAACAAUCCUAAGACCCCUACUCAAUGUCUUCGGUUGGGGCGACCAUGGAGUAAAAAAAACCCUCCACGCGGAAUGACAGUACUACUUACCAAAAUCAAGGGCCCCCGCCCUAAUUAUCAGAACCUCUGACCGCACAGAUCCGGCAAAGCCGAGUAACGAACUAAGUUACCCCAGGGAUAACAGCGCAAUCUCCUUCCCGAGACCCUAUCAAAAAGGAGGUUUACGACCUCGAUGUUGGAUCAGGACAUCCUAAUGGUGCAGCCGCUAUUAAGGGUUCGUUUGUUCAACGAUUAAAGUC
This 580-nucleotide ribosomal RNA is filed under the name Fowlerichthys radiosus (singlespot frogfish). Its description in RNAcentral is "partial 16S large subunit ribosomal RNA". It matches the Rfam family "Bacterial large subunit ribosomal RNA", at positions 1810 to 2595 of the family's 2925-position model. Lineage: Eukaryota; Metazoa; Chordata; Actinopteri; Lophiiformes; Antennariidae. The record is from RNAcentral.